AGAGUUUGAUCAUGGCUCAGAUUGAACGCUGGCGGCAGGCCUAACACAUGCAAGUCGAGCGGUAGCACAGAGAGCUUGCUCUCGGGUGACGAGCGGCGGACGGGUGAGUAAUGUCUGGGAAACUGCCUGAUGGAGGGGGAUAACUACUGGAAACGGUAGCUAAUACCGCAUAACGUCGCAAGACCAAAGUGGGGGACCUUCGGGCCUCAUGCCAUCAGAUGUGCCCAGAUGGGAUUAGCUAGUAGGUGGGGUAACGGCUCACCUAGGCGACGAUCCCUAGCUGGUCUGAGAGGAUGACCAGCCACACUGGAACUGAGACACGGUCCAGACUCCUACGGGAGGCAGCAGUGGGGAAUAUUGCACAAUGGGCGCAAGCCUGAUGCAGCCAUGCCGCGUGUGUGAAGAAGGCCUUCGGGUUGUAAAGCACUUUCAGCGGGGAGGAAGGCGAUAAGGUUAAUAACCUUGUCGAUUGACGUUACCCGCAGAAGAAGCACCGGCUAACUCCGUGCCAGCAGCCGCGGUAAUACGGAGGGUGCAAGCGUUAAUCGGAAUUACUGGGCGUAAAGCGCACGCAGGCGGUCUGUCAAGUCGGAUGUGAAAUCCCCGGGCUUAACCUGGGAACUGCAUUCGAAACUGGCAGGCUAGAGUCUUGUAGAGGGGGGUAGAAUUCCAGGUGUAGCGGUGAAAUGCGUAGAGAUCUGGAGGAAUACCGGUGGCGAAGGCGGCCCCCUGGACAAAGACUGACGCUCAGGUGCGAAAGCGUGGGGAGCAAACAGGAUUAGAUACCCUGGUAGUCCACGCCGUAAACGAUGUCGAUUUGGAGGUUGUGCCCUUGAGGCGUGGCUUCCGGAGCUAACGCGUUAAAUCGACCGCCUGGGGAGUACGGCCGCAAGGUUAAAACUCAAAUGAAUUGACGGGGGCCCGCACAAGCGGUGGAGCAUGUGGUUUAAUUCGAUGCAACGCGAAGAACCUUACCUGGUCUUGACAUCCACAGAACUUUCCAGAGAUGGAUUGGUGCCUUCGGGAACUGUGAGACAGGUGCUGCAUGGCUGUCGUCAGCUCGUGUUGUGAAAUGUUGGGUUAAGUCCCGCAACGAGCGCAACCCUUAUCCUUUGUUGCCAGCGGUUAGGCCGGGAACUCAAAGGAGACUGCCAGUGAUAAACUGGAGGAAGGUGGGGAUGACGUCAAGUCAUCAUGGCCCUUACGACCAGGGCUACACACGUGCUACAAUGGCAUAUACAAAGAGAAGCGACCUCGCGAGAGCAAGCGGACCUCAUAAAGUAUGUCGUAGUCCGGAUUGGAGUCUGCAACUCGACUCCAUGAAGUCGGAAUCGCUAGUAAUCGUAGAUCAGAAUGCUACGGUGAAUACGUUCCCGGGCCUUGUACACACCGCCCGUCACACCAUGGGAGUGGGUUGCAAAAGAAGUAGGUAGCUUAACCUUCGGGAGGGCGCUUACCACUUUGUGAUUCAUGACUGGGGUGAAGUCGUAACAAGGUAACCGUAGGGGAACCUGCGGUUGGAUCACCU
Molecule: ribosomal RNA, 1528 nt
Filed under: Klebsiella pneumoniae
Lineage: Bacteria; Pseudomonadati; Pseudomonadota; Gammaproteobacteria; Enterobacterales; Enterobacteriaceae
Also listed under: 1 other name
Description: bacterial SSU rRNA
Rfam family: Bacterial small subunit ribosomal RNA
Source: RNAcentral